This 503-nucleotide ribosomal RNA is filed under the name uncultured Steroidobacter sp. RNAcentral describes it as "partial 16S ribosomal RNA". Lineage: Bacteria; Pseudomonadati; Pseudomonadota; Gammaproteobacteria; Steroidobacterales; Steroidobacteraceae. The record is from RNAcentral.
CACAGAGUUAGCCGGUGCUUCUUUAGUGGGUUACGUCAAGGUCCCGACGUGUUAGGUCAGAACUUUUCUUCCCCACCGAAAGGGCUUUACAACCCGCAGGCCUUCUUCACCCACGCGGCGUCGCUGGAUCAGGGUUGCCCCCAUUGUCCAAUAUUCCCCACUGCUGCCUCCCGUAGGAGUCCGGACCGUGUCUCAGUUCCGGUGUGACUGGUCGUCCUCUCAGACCAGUUACGGAUCGUCGCCUUGGUAGGCCGUUACCCUACAACUAGCUAAUCCGACUUGGGCUCAUCUGUUAGCGCCAGGCCCUGCGGUCCCCGGCUUUCCACCGUAGUGCGUAUGCGGUAUUAGCCCGAGUUUCCCCGGGUUGUCCCCCACUAACAGGCAGAUUCCCAAGCGUUACUCACCCGUCCGCCGCUCGCCGCCAGGAUUGCUCCCGCGCUGCCGCUCGACUUGCAUGUGUUAGGCACGCCGCCAGCGUUCAAUCUGAGCCAGGAUCAAACUCU